UACGGGGGGAGCAAGCGUUGUUCGGAUUUACUGGGCGUAAAGGGCGCGUAGGCGGUCAGCACAAGUCAGUUGUGAAAUCUCCGGGCUUAACUCGGAAAGGUCAACUGAUACUGUGCGACUAGAGUGCGGAAGGGGCAACUGGAAUUCUCGGUGUAGCGGUGAAAUGCGUAGAUAUCGAGAGGAACACCUGCGGCGAAGGCGACACCCUGGACCAGCACUGACACUGAGGCACGAAAGCGUGGGGAGCAAACAGG
This 254-nucleotide ribosomal RNA is filed under the name uncultured bacterium. Its description in RNAcentral is "partial 16S ribosomal RNA". It matches the Rfam family "Bacterial small subunit ribosomal RNA", at positions 524 to 776 of the family's 1533-position model. The record is from RNAcentral.